RNAcentral lists this ribosomal RNA (253 nucleotides) under uncultured bacterium. RNAcentral's name for it is "partial 16S ribosomal RNA". It matches the Rfam family "Bacterial small subunit ribosomal RNA", at positions 524 to 776 of the family's 1533-position model. The record is from RNAcentral.
UACAGAGGGUGCAAGCGUUGUUCGGAAUUAUUGGGCGUAAAGCGCGUGUAGGCGGCUUGGCAAGUCGGGUGUGAAAGCCCUCAGCUCAACUGAGGAAGUGCGCCCGAAACUGCUGAGCUCGAGUGCCGGAGAGGGUGGCGGAAUUCCCCAAGUAGAGGUGAAAUUCGUAGAGAUGGGGAGGAACACCGGUGGCGAAGGCGGCCACCUGGACGGUGACUGACGCUGAGACACGAAGGCCAGGGGAGCAAACGGG